UACGUAGGGGGCUAGCGUUGUCCGGAAUCAUUGGGCGUAAAGCGCGCGUAGGCGGCCCGGUAAGUCCGCUGUAAAAGUCAAAGGCUCAACCUUUGAAUGUCAGUGGAUACUGCCGGGCUAGAGUCCGGAAGAGGCGAGUGGAACUCCUGGUGUAGCGGUGGAAUGCGCAGAUAUCAGGAAGAACACCGACGGCGAAGGCAGCACUCUGGGCCGGUACUGACGCUGAGGAGCGAAAGCAUGGGGAGCGAACAGG
This 253-nucleotide ribosomal RNA is filed under the name uncultured bacterium. RNAcentral's name for it is "partial 16S ribosomal RNA". It matches the Rfam family "Bacterial small subunit ribosomal RNA", at positions 524 to 776 of the family's 1533-position model. The record is from RNAcentral.